RNAcentral lists this transfer RNA (77 nucleotides) under Anaerotruncus colihominis. Its description in RNAcentral is "tRNA-Met". It matches the Rfam family "tRNA". Rfam says of the family: Transfer RNA (tRNA) molecules are approximately 80 nucleotides in length. Their secondary structure includes four short double-helical elements and three loops (D, anti-codon, and T loops). Lineage: Bacteria; Bacillati; Bacillota; Clostridia; Eubacteriales; Oscillospiraceae. The record is from RNAcentral. RNAcentral also lists the same sequence under 47 other names.
GGCGGUAUAGCUCAGUUGGCUAGAGCAUUCGGUUCAUACCCGAAGUGUCACCGGUUCGAAUCCAGUUACCGCUACCA